This 402-nucleotide ribosomal RNA is filed under the name uncultured prokaryote. RNAcentral's name for it is "bacterial SSU rRNA". It matches the Rfam family "Bacterial small subunit ribosomal RNA", at positions 355 to 774 of the family's 1533-position model. The record is from RNAcentral.
UAGGGAAUAUUGGUAAUGUGCGAAAGCGCGAACCAGCAACGCCGCGUGCACGAUGAAGGCCUUCGGGUUGUAAAGUGCUUUUAGAGAGGAUGAGGAAGGACAGUACUUUCUGAAUAAGCCUCGGCUAACUACGUGCCAGCAGCCGCGGUAAAACGUAGGAGGCAAGCGUUAUCCGGAUUUACUGGGCGUAAAGCGCAUGCAGGUGGUCUUGCAAGUUGGAUGUGAAAGCUCCUGGCUUAACUAGGAGAGGUCGUUCAAAACUGUGAGACUAGAGAGUGGUAGAGGGAGGUGGAAUUCCGGGUGUAGUGGUGAAAUGCGUAGAUAUCCGGAGGAACACCAGUGGCGAAAGCGGCCUCCUGGACCACUUCUGACACUCAGAUGCGAAAGCUAAGGUAGCAAACG